CUCCAAGGGUGUCACAUGGAGAGUGGGGACAGUGGACCACAGGGACAAGACAGUACAGCCAGCCACACACUCACUAAGAUUCAGAGAGAGUAGUCUAGGGCACCGUGGGGACCACCUGGUCUCCCCACGUCUUGCCUUGUGCUCCGGAUUGAAGCCAGAUGGCUUAUACCAGCAGGCUGUGUAGCCCAAAGCUGCUCUUGGCAGGCUCUGAGAGAACAGAGGAACAAUCAAAAAGAAUCCAGCCCUUGACCUGCCAUGGGGCUGAAACUGAGAGGAGGGGGUCGGCCCAGUGGGUCUCCCUGGCCUUGUCAUUUGUUGAGUGUGGGCAUGCCUGCCCCAGCUGAGAUACGGUGGUCUUGGGGACACUGUUAGUUUUCUGUCUUUGAGGAAGAACCCCAGGAGGCAAGUGGAAGGGAGUGAGAAGGUCAGAAAGACCCCUCACUCCCUCUGGACCACCCUCAGCCACCUCAACUAGGCUUCUUCUUUUCUAGCUACUGCCGGAACUCACAAAUCCCGAUGAGCUCCUCUCCUACCUGGAUCCCCCCGACCUUCCAAGCAAUAGCAACGAUGACCUCCUGUCUCUCUUUGAGAACAACUGAAGGCCACUCUCCACUGGGGCCAACCCUCCCCACUCUGCCUCCUAUCCCAUCUGUCCCACACACUCUUCCUCCCAGGAGCCCAUGCUCAGGCCUCCCACACCAGGACCUCAGGCUGAGAGCUGAGCAGAGCACACUAGGCAGGGAAAGCCAUGUGAGUCUACAGUCCUGUUUGCCUGAAUGUUCCGGGACCUGUGCCUAGAGCAAGCCUGAAGACGGCCCCUGGAAGACAAAAACCCAAGCAGAGGGAAUCCAGGCCCAGCAAGAGACAUGCCAAUGUUGAGUAUAGGUCCCUCCAUGUGUGCUGACUCCAGACGACCGACCUUCCAGUGUCCCAAAGUUCUUCCAUGUUUUUAAACCUUAUCCCAGCCUCCUGGCCCAGAGCCUCCUUCAAAUGACUGGAACCUGAGAGGAACACUCCGGCCCCCAGGCCAGGAUAGUAGACAAGCCUUGGAGGAAUGGUGACAGUUUGCAGCAGCGAGGAAGGACGGACACACUCACACAUACACACACACACACACACACACACACACACACACGCAUCACAGAAAAGCACAACCCUCUGGGAAGGAGAACAUCCCUCAGAGCCAGGGGUCGUGGCUUUGGCCUCUGACUUCUAAGCCCUGUAAACACUCUCUCAGCAGAACAAGGACAAAGUGCUACAUCUGAGAGAGCUUGCCACACCUGUGUAGGGACUGGCAGGAAACAGGUCAGGGCCUUCUCCGGAGCCAAGACAAUGCAGGGGAGGGCUGCUCAACUAAGACCAGGGCCAUGCCUUGUGGGGAGCAGAGAACACAUGCACAAUUGUGCACCACACCAAAAUGUGCCCUCCAUUAGGGGCCAGGGGACAAUGCCAGCCAGAGCCCAACAGAGGCAGCCAAAGCCUUGCAGCUUUGCCCCAAGCCACUCCCUGCUUUAAAUGACCACAGUAGGAAGCUCUGAAGUCACAGAAGGAAAGGAAUACUGCAUCUGGACAGCAAGCAAACCAUCGCCCCACCCACCCCACCCCCAUGUUCUCUUUCCUUCCUCCUGCCUAUACUUCCUUCUCCAAGACUAUUCCAUAGGACCCACUUCCCUCUGGGUUCUACUUCUUUCCCCAGACAGCUGUAGGGCACAUGGCAGGGAAGCAGCAUGGGCCCCCCGGGGAAUCUGGACUCCACAGCAAAAGUUCAGGGCAGCCAUGUCUUUCCAAGCCUCUAAAACUAGUCCUGCAGGUUCUCUGCUCAAGGCUGGCUGUCUCCAGCCCAGACCCUUGCUGGGUGCACCAGGAUACCUUGGCAGGCAUAUUGUGACAUUUGUGUAGCUGCCUGUCAUUCCCCAUAUUUUUCCCUCCACCCAGAGCUCGCUCCACACUUCUGCUCACCCAGCAAGUGCAGCCUCUGGUCCUCUGCUUUUUCCACUCCAUCCAGCUUAGAGUCCCCGGCUGGCUUGUCACUCACCUGCUUUGUGCCAGGCUGGUCUGUGUCCCCCUGAGCCUCAUGGCCUACGGUGAUCCCUACAGUGAUGCCAGGUUGUCCGCUCACAUGAAUCCCAUCUGUAAAUUCUUUGCUCCCUUCUCCGAUGCUGCCACCCAGGGCCCUCUCCUGCCUCCUGUCCGCUGCCAGCAUCCUCAUUCGUCAUCGGUCAUUAGCCUCCCUCUGUGCUCCCUGGCACUCUUAAUAUAGAUUGAACCAGAAAGGUGACCCCUAACUGUUGACUUUCUGCCACCCUAAAAAAAAAAAAAAAAACGGCACAAAGAAAGCUGCCAUCACCCCUCCCCUCUUCUUCCUUUGUCCUGUUAAGGUUUUUUCAAGCAGUGUGUUCAGUAUGCAAAUCAAUUAUUUUAAGAAUCGCUUUUGUAAAUAUCUUUGUGAAUAUUUUAGUAUUGUCUUUGAUAAUAUUCAACAUUUUCAUGACCUGGUUAUAGCCUUUGCUGGUGUUUUUAAAAUAUCUUGACUCAGUGACAAAACCCGAGUCCUUUUUUAAAAAAACAAAAACAAAAACAAACAACAAAAACACACACACACAAAAAAAAACCAACCAGGGCUAUUUGUACAGAUGAGAGAGGAGCAGAAGAGUCGGCCAUGCUCAAGUUGGGAGACCAGGCAACCUACUAUUGAGAGCCACUCUCAGUCAGCUGACAGGGACAACACUACACAAGGUACCAUGUGGCUGUCCCUACCCAGUGCCUGUGUCCUGGCCCAAGGCCGUGCUCUUGUUGGACUAUACGGACGGACUGUUCAGCUUCAGACUGACAAACGCCUUUCUCACAAGUUCCUGCUUCUUGCCGCGAUACUGUGCCCCAGAACAGCCUGGGGUCCCUGCUAGUUCUUGUCAAGGCAUGCCCAGGUUUUCCACAGCUUUCCAAAGCAAAAGGCCUAGACACUCCCCGUAGCCCCAGCCUCUCUGUCAUCAGUUCACACCUGAGGCUGAUUUCCUAAGACUCUCUCCUAGGCAAGUGCCCCACCAGCAAGUUCACCACACAGCCUGAAGCCCACACUCCGGGAGCAUCUCCUUCCAGAGAAAUGUCGGAGCUCACCCAGGGUUUGAGAGAGGUACAAAGACAUCUGGGGCUGGAGCCAUGCCUUGGUAGUGACAGAUGCAGGUGAAGGUGAUAUCUAUUAGCAGAGGCAGGCUUAGACUCUGGAAAGAUCCUCAGUCCUUUCUGACAACAACUUGGAGCCAUAGUAACCUCAGAAAUGAGGUCUCAGCAAGCCACUUUACCACAAGGAGCAACCCACCCAUAGGCAUGUACCAGCCACCACUCAGCUAACCAGGCUGGGAGUCCAUGGGCAGAUGGGGAAGGCCCCGCACAGGCGAUCACCCUCAUCUUCUUGGUUUGAAGCUUUAUUCAUGUCUCAUGUAUCCUGUAGCCAUUUUAUUUUUUAAAAGAUUCCUAAUACUUUCUCCCUAACGGAAGCCCUAAACCCCAGAGAGCUACAGGUCUGCUCCCAAUGGGCCCUUGGGCCUGACCGAUCCAGAGGCAGUGUGAGCAGCGGCAGCGACUCAAGGGACGCGUGUACAUAUGUAAAUGAGAGAUAGACAUGUCAACAAGAUACAUUCAUUUCUCCCGGAAUGUGUAAUGUUUUUUUAUUUUACGAAACAGAAACAACAAAAGGCUUGGAACUCCUACGUGGAAUACUAGAUCCUGUUUGUUAGCCUUCGUGACUCCGUCCUUGUCUCCUGUAAUAUACUGACCCGUGUGCAGAGGCAUUUUCGUUCCCCUUUGUCUUUAUUUCUACCUACACGUACUAUUUACCUUCCGUGUCCUAGCCCUGCCACCUGUGUAUUUUUGGGGUGCUAUGGAAACAAUGAAGAGAAACGGGGGUUUCAGAAGAAAAUUGUAACCAAAUUCAUAUGCUUUGUAUAAGUUUUUGAUAUCAUGAUCACAGGUGAUUCACACGCAUACACAUCCACACCCACACGUGCAGCCUGAAGUGAUGUCCAUGGAACCCAUCGUCUUUGUACAGCGUAUGUACAUGGCAAUCAUUUCAUACUUUUGACUGGUCAGAAAAAAAAAACUAAUUGUGAUUUCUAGUCUUGCAAAGCUGUAUGUAGUUAGAUGAUGUGACCUCUAAUAUUUAUCUAAUAAAUAUGUAUUCAGAUGAAACCUGUAUAUUAGGUGUUCAUGUGGUUAUUUUGUAUUUAAAGAUCAAAUUAUUUGAUUAUUGCUAGACAUUUCUAUACUCUGUUGUAACACUGAGGUAUCUCAUUUGCUCAUGUUAAUUUUUUUCUAAAUAAAUGGACAAAAAAAAAAGAA
This 4335-nucleotide long non-coding RNA is filed under the name Rattus norvegicus (Norway rat). RNAcentral describes it as "long non-coding RNA NONRATT011233". Lineage: Eukaryota; Metazoa; Chordata; Mammalia; Rodentia; Muridae. The record is from RNAcentral.